GUAUGAAGCGAAGAAAUGAAACUUCAAAAACAAUUUCAAUGCAUGCCAAAGAAAUUCCAGAAUGUGGUCCACCCAAAGAUGUAAAGCCAUGGAAAGAAAUUUCUGAACAGUCUCCUUUCCAACAAGAAGAAAUUCAACAAAGUGGUCCCUCCGAACGUAUGAAGCGAAUAAAUGAAACUUCAAAAACAAUUUCAAUGCAUGCAAAAGAAAUUCCAGAAUGUGGUCCACCCAA
Argiope bruennichi is the source of this 232-nucleotide long non-coding RNA. RefSeq lists it as uncharacterized. The record is from RefSeq and is a predicted model, not a curated record. Lineage: Eukaryota; Metazoa; Arthropoda; Arachnida; Araneae; Araneidae. The transcript is spliced from 3 exons.